CCCGUAGCUCAGCUGGAUAGAGUACUGCCCUCCGAAGGCAGGGGUCGGACGUUCGAAUCGUCUCGGGUGCGCCA
RNAcentral lists this transfer RNA (74 nucleotides) under Burkholderiaceae bacterium. RNAcentral's name for it is "tRNA-Arg". It matches the Rfam family "tRNA". From Rfam's summary of the family: Transfer RNA (tRNA) molecules are approximately 80 nucleotides in length. Their secondary structure includes four short double-helical elements and three loops (D, anti-codon, and T loops). Lineage: Bacteria; Pseudomonadati; Pseudomonadota; Betaproteobacteria; Burkholderiales; Burkholderiaceae. The record is from RNAcentral.